This 590-nucleotide unclassified non-coding RNA is filed under the name Hevea brasiliensis (rubber tree). Lineage: Eukaryota; Viridiplantae; Streptophyta; Magnoliopsida; Malpighiales; Euphorbiaceae. The record is from RNAcentral.
AAAAAUAAAAAAAAAAAAAAAAACCAUCAUUCAUCAACCAUUUGAAUUUUACUCUUCAACUUUCUCUGGCUCCUCAGAUGCAGGGGCAGAUUCCUCUGUUUUCUCUGCUUCGGGUUCUGCAACUGGGGCUGCUUCGGGUUCAGCUACGGGUGCUGGAGCCUCCUCAACGGGUGCUGCAGCAACCGGUUCCUCAGCUGCGGCUGCAGGUUCUUCUGCAGCCACAGGUUCUUCAACUGGAGCUGCAACAGGUUCUGCUGCAACUGCCACUGGCUCUUCUGAUUCUGCGGCUACAGGUUCUGCAGCCGCAGGCUCUUCAGCUACAGGGGCUGCUACUUCCUCCGCAGCAGGAGCAGCCUCUUCUGGUGCUGGUGCUGAUUCGACCUCAACAUCCUUUUCUACAGCGGGGGCUGGUUCCUCCGCCUUGUUUACCUCUGGAGCUGGGGUAACUUCAACCUCAGCUGGAGUAGUCUCUACUGGUGCUACUGGUGCAGAUUCAACCUCAACACUGGCCAUUGGAAGAAAGUUGGAAAAUAAGAAGAUGGGAAAGAGGAAAAUAAAUUAAGAAAUGGAAGGGGGCAAAAUAUUUGUAA